AUACUUACCUGGACGGGGUCUAUGGCCGAUCACGAAGGGUCAUGGCCUAGGCUAGUGGCUCACAUUGCACUUGGUGGGUGCGCUGGCCUACCAUCUCCCCAAGUGGGAGAGUGGACGUCAUAAUUUGUGGUAGAGGGGGUACGCGUUCGCGCGGCCCCUGC
Molecule: small nuclear RNA, 161 nt
Filed under: Leersia perrieri
Lineage: Eukaryota; Viridiplantae; Streptophyta; Magnoliopsida; Poales; Poaceae
Description: snRNA U1
Rfam family: U1 spliceosomal RNA
About the family: U1 is a small nuclear RNA (snRNA) component of the spliceosome (involved in pre-mRNA splicing). Its 5' end forms complementary base pairs with the 5' splice junction, thus defining the 5' donor site of an intron. There are significant differences in sequence and secondary structure between metazoan and yeast U1 snRNAs, the latter being much longer (568 nucleotides as compared to 164 nucleotides in human).
Source: RNAcentral